RNAcentral lists this ribosomal RNA (207 nucleotides) under uncultured bacterium. RNAcentral's name for it is "partial 16S ribosomal RNA". It matches the Rfam family "Bacterial small subunit ribosomal RNA", at positions 568 to 774 of the family's 1533-position model. The record is from RNAcentral.
CGCGUAGGUGGUUUGUUAAGUCAGAUGUGAAAGCCCCGGGCUCAACCUGGGAACUGCAUUUGAUACUGGCGAGCUAGAGUAUGGUAGAGGGAAGUGGAAUUCCGGGUGUAGCGGUGAAAUGCGUAGAUAUCCGGAAGAACACCAGUGGCGAAGGCGGCUUCCUGGACCAAUACUGACGCUGAGGUGCGAAAGCGUGGGGAGCAAACA